AUUUUUCUAUGUUUAAUCGCAAUAUCUAUGACGAUGAAUUUUUCUUCAUCACGUUUUCAUGAUGAUGUUAUGUGAUGUUCGAUAAUAGUUGGCUCGGAUGCACACACGGCACAAUAUAAGAUUAUUCUCGCAUCUCGUAUUUGUGUUUUCCUUUUGAAAAUUUCUUUCAAUUUCAUUAACAAAAAUAACGAAGAGAAUAUAGAAAAAAGAAUAAUAAAAAUUAGUAUUAAAAAUAAAAUUCGUGUAUUUAAAAAAAAAAAAAGAAAUAUGUUAAGUAUAAAGAUAUAAAAAAUAAGAUGGAAAACAAGAAGAAUUGCAAAUAAAAACUUUACAAAAAAUAAGAGAAAAAUUUAAAGAAAAUAGGAAUUUAUUUUGAAAAUAAAAACCUACAGAGUGUCAUAGAACUAUUGAAACACAUCAAAUCGAACAAGAAAAUUUUAUAGAGCUAGAUUAUUUUAAUAAUCUUUGGCAAUUAUAUACUCUAAAAUGACUCCCUCGAUCAAAAUUAUCUAUUUGAAACCGAAAAGUUUAAUGCAUCAUAGCUCCUUUAAAAGUUGAUACACUCCAAAAAUUAUUAAGGUUUGAAUAGAAAUUUCAAUUUGAAAAUCAAGUAAUUUGACACAAAAUGUGUUGCUAUUCCACGUUAAAUAGAUUUAAACGGAACACCUGAAUUUUCAUAAGUUGGCCAUUUAGAUCGAUAAAGAAUAUUUGAUAUUUGUUUUUGUACACAGCAACUCAUAUGAACCGCCAAUUUUGAGUUAUAUUUUUACUUGAAUUGGAUUGGACAUGAAUACAUAAGUGCUUGGAGUUCUCAUGUAUGUUUAAAGAUACCCAUACUUUAAAUGCAGGAGGGUAGUAAGAUAGAGGCUGUUUUACGAAAUAACCAUGUCAAGGACUUAUUGUUCUAUAAUAUAAAAGAUUCAAUUAUACCCAUGGGAAAAACCUGGUAAUAAUGAGAGAACGAAGAUGUAAUAUAAUUUUUUUUUUUUGGUUCAUCAUCAACUAGCUAUGUACUAGGAUAUUUUAAUAAUCUGAAAUUGGAAAUUGAUUUUAUGAAGGAAGGAAAUAUCAGAUACUCGAUGGUUCAAUGUUAAUAAAAUUAAAAAGCUGCCUUUGUCAAACCUAUUUGCAACAAUAAUUAUUAUGGGUUGUUAUAUUGACUUAAUUAAUAGUGUCGUGUCAAAACAUAACACUAAUGAAUAUAAAUAUUUUCUUUAACAUCAAAUUGUAUUUAAAUUAAAAUUUCAAGAAUAUUAAUAUUCUGUAUGUAUGUGCAAUAUAACAUUUA
This is a long non-coding RNA of Condylostylus longicornis, 1288 nucleotides long. RefSeq lists it as uncharacterized. Lineage: Eukaryota; Metazoa; Arthropoda; Insecta; Diptera; Dolichopodidae. The record is from RefSeq and is a predicted model, not a curated record. The transcript is spliced from 3 exons.